UGGGUGUGUCAGGCAGGCAGUGCAUUGCUAGCUGGCUGUUAGAACUUUAUCCCAACAGUUGCUAGCUGCACUACCCUCUGCUGCACUCA
Molecule: non-coding RNA, 89 nt
Organism: Mus musculus (house mouse)
Lineage: Eukaryota; Metazoa; Chordata; Mammalia; Rodentia; Muridae
Source: Rfam